Molecule: non-coding RNA, 45 nt
Filed under: Schistosoma margrebowiei
Lineage: Eukaryota; Metazoa; Platyhelminthes; Trematoda; Strigeidida; Schistosomatidae
Source: RNAcentral
AUCCAGCUGACGAGUUUUAAAUAGGACGAAAUGCGAAUCCUGGAU